RNAcentral lists this non-coding RNA (46 nucleotides) under Trichobilharzia regenti. The record is from RNAcentral. Lineage: Eukaryota; Metazoa; Platyhelminthes; Trematoda; Strigeidida; Schistosomatidae.
GCACUGAUGAAGAGUCCUAAACUAGGACGAAACAGAUGUCCAGUAC